AGUGAACGCUGGCGGUAGGCCUAACACAUGCAAGUCGAACGGCAGCACAGUAAGAGCUUGCUCUUCCGGGUGGCGAGUGGCGGACGGGUGAGGAAUACAUCGGAAUCUACUUUUUCGUGGGGGAUAACGUAGGGAAACUUACGCUAAUACCGCAUACGACCUACGGGUGAAAGCAGGGGAUCUUCGGACCUUGCGCGAUUGAAUGAGCCGAUGUCGGAUUGGCUAGUUGGCGGGGUAAAGGCCCAGCAAGGCGACGAUCCGUAGCUGGACUGAGAGGAUGAUCAGCCGCACGGGAGCUGAGACACGGUCCAGACUCCUACGGGAGGCAGCAGUGGGGAAUAGUGGACAGUGGGCGCAAGCCUGGUCCAGCCAUACCGCGUGGGUGAAGAAGGCCUUGGGGUUGUAAAGCCCUUUUGUUGGGAAAGAAAAGCAGCAGGUUAAUACCCCGCUGUUCUGACGGUACCCAAAGAAUAAGCACCGGCUAACUUCGUG
RNAcentral lists this ribosomal RNA (492 nucleotides) under uncultured bacterium. RNAcentral's name for it is "partial 16S ribosomal RNA". It matches the Rfam family "Bacterial small subunit ribosomal RNA", at positions 29 to 507 of the family's 1533-position model. The record is from RNAcentral.